RNAcentral lists this ribosomal RNA (395 nucleotides) under uncultured bacterium. Its description in RNAcentral is "bacterial SSU rRNA". It matches the Rfam family "Bacterial small subunit ribosomal RNA", at positions 521 to 916 of the family's 1533-position model. The record is from RNAcentral.
UAAUACGUAGGGUGCAAGCGUUAAUCGGAAUUACUGGGCGUAAAGCGUGCGCAGGCGGUCCUGUAAGACAGAGGUGAAAUCCCCGGGCUCAACCUGGGAACUGCCUUUGUGACUGCAGGGCUUGAGUACGGCAGAGGGGGAUGGAAUUCCGCGUGUAGCAGUGAAAUGCGUAGAUAUGCGGAGGAACACCGAUGGCGAAGGCAGUCCCCUGGGCCUGUACUGACGCUCAUGCACGAAAGCGUGGGGAGCAAACAGGAUUAGAUACCCUGGUAGUCCACGCCCUAAACGAUGUCAACUGGUUGUUGGAGGGGUUUCUCUUCAGUAACGAAGCUAACGCGUGAAGUUGACCGCCUGGGGAGUACGGCCGCAAGGUUGAAACUUAAAUGAAUUGACGG